GAUGAACGCUAGCGAUAGGCCUAACACAUGCAAGUCGAGGGGCAGCAUAGAGUAGCAAUACUUUGAUGGCGACCGGCGCACGGGUGAGUAACACGUAUGCAACCUACCUACAUCAGGGGAAUAACCCGGAGAAAUUCGGACUAAUACCGCAUAAUACAGGGAUGCCGCAUGGCAAUAUUUGUUAAAGAUUUAUCGGAUGUAGAUGGGCAUGCGUUCCAUUAGCUGGUUGGUAAGGUAACGGCUUACCAAGGCAACGAUGGAUAGGGGAACUGAGAGGUUUGUCCCCCACACUGGAACUGAGAAGUGGACCAGACUCCUACGGGAGGAAGCAGGGAGGAAUAUUGGUCAAUGGACGAGAGUCUGAACCAGCCAAAUCGCGUGAAGGAAGACUGCCCUACGGGUUGUAAACUUCUUUUGUACAGGAAUAAAAGACAUUACGUGUAAUGUAUUGCAUGUACUGUACGAAUAAGCAUCGGCUAACUCCGUGCCAGCAGCCGCCGUAA
Molecule: ribosomal RNA, 503 nt
Filed under: uncultured bacterium
Lineage: Bacteria
Description: partial 16S ribosomal RNA
Rfam family: Bacterial small subunit ribosomal RNA
Source: RNAcentral